Eriocheir sinensis (Chinese mitten crab) is the source of this 2443-nucleotide long non-coding RNA. RefSeq lists it as uncharacterized. The record is from RefSeq and is a predicted model, not a curated record. The transcript has 2 exons. NCBI's taxonomy places the organism in Eukaryota, Metazoa, Arthropoda, Malacostraca, Decapoda, Varunidae.
UGAAUAACAAAUAAUGAAAAGAAGUAAAAAAUGAAAAGAAAGUGAAAUAAUAAGAAAAAAGAAAGCAAACUAGACUCGUAGAAGGAAAAAAAGGAAAUGAAGAUGGAAAUGUGUGAUGGGAGGAAGGGAAGAAGAAAAUAACAGGUAAUGACUUAAUGAAAAGAAGUAAAAAAUGAAAAAAAGUGAAAUAAAAAGAAAUAAAUAGAAAGCAAAUCAGACUCGUAAAAGCAAAACAAAAAAAAGGAAAUGAGGAAGGAAAUGUAUGAUGAGAGGAAGGAAAAAAAUAACACAGAGUAACAAAUAAUGAAAAUAAUAAAAAAAUGAAAAGAAUGACAAGAAGUCCCCAAAAUAGAGGAUACAUAAACUGACCACAAAUGCGUUGAUACAUAUGAUGGGUUGCGUGAGUGAUGAUUUUUUCUCAUUAAUUUGCUUAGAGGAGCCUUUAAAUAACAUGAUCCCUGCAGAUACCGGGUCAAAACGAGAUAGGGUCAGAUAUAGCUGUGUAUGAAGAAUGACUUACAAUUUUGCUACACAGUAUUGAAAAGAAGUGUGUUAAUGUUAUAUAAGAGUGAGAUAGUUAAAAUAAGAGAAGAAAUUAGUUAAAAUUCACUUAGACAUCAUAUGAAAAAUACCACCUUAAAAUUAAAUGACCCAGAUAGCAAUGGAUGAGAAAUGACUUACAAUUUUGCUGCACAGUAUUGAAAAGAAGUGUGUUAAUGUUAUAUAAGAGUGAGAUAGUUAAAAUAAGAGAAGAAAUGAGUUAAAAUUCACUUAGACAUCAUAUGAAAAAUACCACCUUAAAAUUAAAAGACCCAGAUAGCAAUGUAUGAGAAAUGACUUACAAUUUGCUGAAACACUAGUGACAAGAAAUGUGUUAGAAUGAAAUAAGAGUGAGGUAGUUAAAUGUGAGAAGGAAUGGUUUAAAAUUCAGUUAGACACCAUGAAAAAAUACUGUUAAAAUUAAAUGAGUCUGAUAGCUAUGCAUGAAGGAUGACUUACAAUUUUGCUAAACAGUAUUGAAGGGAAGUGUGUUAGAAUGAUAUAAGAGUGAGAUAGCUAAAUAUGAGAAGGAAUGGUUUAAAAUUAAGUGAAAAAAUACUACUAUGUUAAAAUUAAAUGAGUCUGAUAGCUAUAUAUGAAGAAUGACUUACAAUUUUGCUUAACAGUAUUGACAAGAAAUAUGUUAGAGUGAAAUAAGAGUGAGAUAGUUAAAUAUGAGAAGGAAUGGUUUAAAAUUAAGUGAAAAAAUACUACUAUGUUAAAAUUAAAUGAGCCUGAUAGCUAUGUAUGAAGGAUGACUUACAAUUUUGCUAAACAGUAUUGAAAGAAAGUGUGUUAGAAUGAUAUAAGAGUGAGAUAGUUAAAUAUGAGAAGGAAUGGUUUAAAAAUUAAGUGAAAAAAUACUACUGUGUUAAAAUUAAAUGAGCCUGAUAGCUAUGUAUGAAGGAUGACAUACAAUUUUGCUAAACAGUAUUGAAAGAAAGUGUGUUAGAAUGAAAUAAGAGUGAGGUAGUUAAAUAUGAGAAGGAAUGGUUUAAAAUUUAGUUAGACACCAUGAAAAAAUUACUAUGUUAAAGCCAAAUGAGUCAGAUAGAUAGAUAGAUAGAUAGAGUGAGAUACUUAAAUAUGAGAAUGUACGACUUAGAAUUUACUUGACUUAACGUUAUAAUCAUUUCAAGUCGAUUGUUUUUAUUAUAUAUCUUUUUUUUUUUGUAUGGUAAGUUACGACAGUUACGAAUUUGACUUGUAUCGAUACAUCUUAUGAAUAUUAACUUCCGAGUGUCGUGUAAUUUUUUUUUUAGGGGAAACUCAAAUGUUGGGUAAAAAUAUUGUGUUUCUUUAAUAGGGAAAUACUGCAACACACUUUAUGAUCUAGUGUUGCGAGUUGUGUUGGUGAGGACUAUUUGUUUGUUCAUGUGUACGUUUGUGUUGUGUGUGCGCAUCUCAGAACAUAUGAUAUUGAGGUGUGUGUGUGUGUGUGUGUGUGUGUGUGUGUGUGUGUGUGUGUGUGUGUGUGUGUGUGUGUGUACAGCAGACUCAUUAACUCUUUUUUUUCAGAUUUCAUGCUUGCCAGAGAGAGAGAGAGAGAGAGAGAGAGAGAGAGCGCAGUGUUAUAUAAGGCAGUGUUUGCAUUAUAAUAGUCGCCCCUGUUCUUGCUGCUGCCAAAACCUCUCUGCUUCUUUUUUAUAUAUCUCCAUCAAAGACCUUUUUCUGUAUACGUAUUUGUAUAUAUUAUGACUUUUUUUGGUUAGUGUGAGUCUUUGUAUGUUAACUAUCGCCUCUUGGAACCUUGGACCCGUGAAACACAAUCUUCCAUAUUCGAUCUUGAUUUCUUUCUUUCUUUCUCUGUAAGUCUUUCGUAGUUGUCUGAUUCUCUCUCUCUGUCUUUCUCUCUCUCUGACUGUCUCACACACACACACACACACACACACACACACACACA